GGGCUAUUAGCUCAGGUGGUUAGAGCGCACCCCUGAUAAGGGUGAGGUCGCUGGUUCAAGUCCAGCAUAGCCC
Molecule: transfer RNA, 73 nt
Filed under: Bathycoccus prasinos
Lineage: Eukaryota; Viridiplantae; Chlorophyta; Mamiellophyceae; Mamiellales; Bathycoccaceae
Description: transfer RNA-Ile
Rfam family: tRNA
About the family: Transfer RNA (tRNA) molecules are approximately 80 nucleotides in length. Their secondary structure includes four short double-helical elements and three loops (D, anti-codon, and T loops). Further hydrogen bonds mediate the characteristic L-shaped molecular structure. tRNAs have two regions of fundamental functional importance: the anti-codon, which is responsible for specific mRNA codon recognition, and the 3' end, to which the tRNAs corresponding amino acid is attached (by aminoacyl-tRNA synthetases). tRNAs cope with the degeneracy of the genetic code in two manners: having more than one tRNA (with a specific anti-codon) for a particular amino acid; and 'wobble' base-pairing, i.e. permitting non-standard base-pairing at the 3rd anti-codon position.
Source: RNAcentral